This 956-nucleotide small RNA is filed under the name Pongo abelii (Sumatran orangutan). Its description in RNAcentral is "processed transcript". The record is from RNAcentral. Lineage: Eukaryota; Metazoa; Chordata; Mammalia; Primates; Hominidae.
GUUUGCGCCAUCUGCAGCUGUUGCUCCUGCCUGGCGCGGUGGUGCGGGCUCGGCUGCCCUUCCCGGCUGCGCCCCGGCUCAGCCCUCGCUUCUCGGGUCGGCGAGCCGGGGCUCCUGCGCGCGCUUCGUUCUUAUACGAACGUCGGGCUCACUCAUUUGUUUAUGUCCUAGAAAAGUUGUGUGGACAACUGCUUUAAUUUUCAUUGUUAGCACUCUAAAGUUUAGGAAGUGACUAGGAACCACCUCAAAAGCUGCAGUUUUUUGUUCUUGUUUCUUAUAGGCUGAAGGGGAUGCUAAGGGAGAUAAAGCCAAGGUGAAAGACGAACCACAGAGAAGAUCCGCGAGGUUGUCUGCUAAACCUGCUCCUCCAAAGCCAGAGCCCAAGCCUAAAAAGGCCCCUGCAAAGAAGGGAGAGAAGGUACCCAAAGGGAAAAAGGGAAAAGCUGAUGCUGGCAAGGAGGGGAAUAACCCUGCAGAAAAUGGAGAUGCCAAAACAGACCAGGCACAGAAAGCUGAAGGUGCUGGAGAUGCCAAGUGAAGUGUGUGCAUUUUUGAUAACUGUGUACUUCUGGUGACUGUACAGUUUGAAAUACUAUUUUUUAUCAAGUUUUAUAAAAAUGCAGAAUUUUGUUUUACUUUUUUUUUUUUUUUAAAGCUAUGUUGUUAGCACACAGAACACUUCAUUGUUGUUUUUGGGGGAAGGGGGGCAUAUGUCACUAAUAGAAUGUCUCCAAAGCUGGAUUGAUGUGGAGAAAACACCUUUCCCUUCUAGUUUUGAGAGACUUCCUCUUGGCUCCCAGGAGGAGGGAUUCCCUGACUUUGACACACAUGGCCACCUUGGCACAAAAGCCUUGUGGUAUGGAAAAACAAAUUUGUUUUUAUGUCCUCUUCUCCCUUUCCAUCUUUCAGCAUAGACUUAACUCCCUUAAGCCCAGACAUCUGUUGGGACCUGACCC